CCUUGACAUACUAAGAACUUUCCAGAGAUGGAUUGGUGCCUUCGGGAACUUAGAUACAGGUGCUGCAUGGCUGUCGUCAGCUCGUGUCGUGAGAUGUUGGGUUAAGUCCCGCAACGAGCGCAACCCUUUUCCUUAUUUGCCAGCGGGUAAUGCCGGGAACUUUAAGGAUACUGCCAGUGACAAACUGGAGGAAGGCGGGGACGACGUCAAGUCAUCAUGGCCCUUACGGCCAGGGCUACACACGUGCUACAAUGGUCGGUACAGAGGGUUGCUACCUCGCGAGAGGAUGCUAAUCUCAAAAAGCCGAUCGUAGUCCGGAUCGCAGUCUGCAACUCGACUGCGUGAAGUCGGAAUCGCUAGUAAUCGUGGAUCAGAAUGCCGCGGUGAAUACGUUCCCGGGCCUUGUACACACCGCCCGUCACACCAUGGGAGUUUGUUGCACCAGAAGUAGGUAGUCUAACCGCAAGGAGGACGCUUACCACGGUGUGGCCGAUGACUGGGGUGAAGUCGUAACAAGGUAAGCGUAGAUGA
RNAcentral lists this ribosomal RNA (531 nucleotides) under uncultured bacterium. Its description in RNAcentral is "bacterial SSU rRNA". It matches the Rfam family "Bacterial small subunit ribosomal RNA", at positions 979 to 1509 of the family's 1533-position model. The record is from RNAcentral.